AUGUACAUUUUCCUUGUUUCGGGUUUUUUUUUGCCUUUUCUCUGCGGUGACUGUUCCAAACUGCUCCGUCCGCUCUCCUGCAUCCCAUGGGAAGUGGCCAGGGAGGUGACUUGUGCAGGGAAAAACAUACUGAGCAAUGCAGGGCCAAGCUGUCAGUGGGUAGAGUUUGGGACAGAGAGGAGAGAGACGGAGGGGACGGAGAACAGGAGGGGUGCCAGGAUAAGGGACUGGGUCAGCCUGGAGGUAUUUUUGUGGCUGCAGCCCAAAGUAAGCCAAGGCAGAGUGCCCAGUCCUGAGGGUGCAACUGCAAGGGGGAUAGCAACCCCAGAGUGCAGGAGGGUGACAGAGGGACAGAGGUGGUGGGGAGCAGGGUAGCAGGAGGCUGGCAGGGGGACAGAGAGCCCGGGGUGGCCAGGCGUGGAUGGGUUUUCAGGUUGGCAGGGGAGUGAAGGCAGUGGGAAGGAGGGCAGGAGUGUUUUGAGGGGCGCUGCAGCCCCUUAGGGAGGGGUACAGGGCAGGUUUAGGCUCAAUGCUGCCAGUGCAAGGAGCAGGAAUAGCCCCAGAGCUCAGGAAGGUGCCUUGGCUGCCACUUGGAUGCCACGGGUCCUGUGAGGCAUGGGGACUUCGACCUCUUGCUGCUGGGAAAAGCCACCCAUCCCUGUGGGAUGGAGCAGAGCCACUCCAGACCUGUGCCAGGCUGAGGGCUGAGGUGGCUGCUGUGAGCAGGGAGACAGAGCAGCGGGGGGAAGAGAGGGAAAAAUCCAAGGCCAGGCACUGGCAAAUCAUGCCAGGGCUGUGCUGGGGGUCUCUGGCCGAGUUCUCAUAUGUAGCAUGUUUUGUUGUUUUGUAGGUUUUUGGGGUUUUUUUUGUUUUGUUUUUUUUUUUUCUUCUGUUUCACUCACUGAUCUAAAACUCUGGGAAUGAAAACUCAAAACUCCCCCACCAUAAAACACAGGCGUGCCCCACUCCCAGCCCCGAUGGGGGACGAAGCUCUUCGUUAACUGGACCGGUUUGUGCCUCCAUCCCUCCCUCCCUCCUGCCUGCACCGAGCCCAGGGCUCACACUGCACCCCACGCACACAGAGUGGUGCCCCCAGCAGCCCUGGCUGGGGUUUAGUCAUGAUCCCAGAGACACUUUCUCAACUCCCCCCAGCCCCUCUGUUCUCCUCCAGUGUAUUUAUGAAUUUCACAUGAAGUACUGUUUUAUUUUUUUAAAGACUUUGUAAAGCUUACCAGGGUUACAAUCACCAUUUUUAGAGCUGUGUCAAUCCACAAUGUUAAAAAUCCAUUUUUUUAAUGUAUUAUAUUUUUUGUGUAUUUUUUUUAAUCCAGCUGUGAUGGGUUGUAUCAUAUAUUUGUUGUGUUUACUGUAUCUGUCCAAAGAGAGGAGACUGUGGAGCUCCGACAAAACUACGGUCUGCUGAAAAAAAAAACCAUUAAAAUUAUUUGUUCAUGGGUUGGCUCAAGCCGUUCUGAAAUUCAUAUUUUAUUUUUGGGGAUUUUCUUCAGCAUGAAGAAAAUGAGAGCUGCCACGUCCCAUGGAUAACGCUUCUCCUGGGACCCCAAUUCUGGGUACCAGGAUGCCGCAUCCAGCUGCGUUUUGCUCUAGUUUGCAUCACUGCUGCAGGGUUGGGUUGGCCGUGGUAGAUGCUUCCCUGCAGCAUUGCUGGGUUCAGGAGCACACUUUUUUUUUGGGAUCACGGGGUGGCAGAGGGCUGGUCUGUCCCAUCCACGGCUGGUGCGUCCCAUCCUACACUCAGGCGACACAGGCCUUUCAUCCGCCCCGUCCUGCGAGCCGCCCGUACCCCACUAUCCCUCCCGCAGCCGCGGCGCGCCCCCCCCCCCCCCCCCCCCCCCCCCCCCCCCCCCCCCCCCCCCCCCCCCCCCCCCCCCCCCCCCCCCCCCCC
Molecule: long non-coding RNA, 1906 nt
Organism: Ficedula albicollis (Collared flycatcher)
Lineage: Eukaryota; Metazoa; Chordata; Aves; Passeriformes; Muscicapidae
Source: Ensembl